Molecule: ribosomal RNA, 875 nt
Filed under: Scopulariopsis crassa
Lineage: Eukaryota; Fungi; Ascomycota; Sordariomycetes; Microascales; Microascaceae
Description: eukaryotic LSU rRNA
Rfam family: Eukaryotic large subunit ribosomal RNA
Source: RNAcentral
AUAAGCGGAGGAAAAGAAACCAACAGGGAUUGCCUCAGUAACGGCGAGUGAAGCGGCAACAGCUCAAAUUUGAAAUCUGGUCCCCUCUGGGGGCCCGAGUUGUAAUUUGAAGAGGAUGCUUUUGGCGAGGCGCCGUCCGAGUUCCCUGGAACGGGACGCCGCAGAGGGUGAGAGCCCCGUACGGUCGGACGCCGAGCCUCUGUAAAGCUCCUUCGACGAGUCGAGUAGUUUGGGAAUGCUGCUCAAAAUGGGAGGUAAACCCCUUCUAAAGCUAAAUACCGGCCAGAGACCGAUAGCGCACAAGUAGAGUGAUCGAAAGAUGAAAAGCACUUUGAAAAGAGAGUUAAAAAGCACGUGAAAUUGUUAAAAGGGAAGCGCUUGCGACCAGACUUGCGCCCGUCGGAUCAACCGUCGCUUGCGGCGGCGCACUCCGGCGGGCUCAGGCCAGCAUCAGUUCGCCUGGGGGGAGAAAGGCGGCGGGAAUGUAGCUCCUCGGAGUGUUAUAGCCCGCCGUGUAAUACCCUCGGGUGGACUGAGGACCGCGCGUAUGCAAGGAUGCUGGCGUAAUGGUCGUCAGCGACCCGUCUUGAAACACGGACCAAGGAGUCGUCCUAAUAUGCGAGUGUACGGGUGUCAAACCCCUGCGCGUAAUGAAAGUGAACGGAGGUGAGAGCUUCGGCGCAUCAUCGACCGAUCCUGAUGUUAUCGGAUGGAUUUGAGUAAGAGCAUAUUGGGCCGGACCCGAAAGAAGGUGAACUAUGCCUGUGUAGGGUAAAGCCAGAGGAAACUCUGGUGGAGGCUCGCAGCGGUUCUGACGUGCAAAUCGAUCGUCAAACAUGGGCAUGGGGGCGAAAGACUAAUCGAACCUUCUAGUA